RNAcentral lists this ribosomal RNA (501 nucleotides) under uncultured bacterium. RNAcentral's name for it is "bacterial SSU rRNA". It matches the Rfam family "Bacterial small subunit ribosomal RNA", at positions 26 to 505 of the family's 1533-position model. The record is from RNAcentral.
AGGACGAACGCUGGCGGCGUGCUUAACACAUGCAAGUCGUACGCGAAAGCACCUUCGGGUGUAAGUAGAGUGGCGCACGGGUGAGUAACACGUGGAUAAUCUACCCAAUGAUCUGGGAUAACAUUUCGAAAGGAAUGCUAAUACCGGAUAAGCCUACGAGACCUUCGGGUCAUGUAGGAAAAGGUGGGGACCUUCGGGCCUACUGUCAUUGGAUGAGUCCGCGGCCCAUUAGCUAGUUGGUGGGGUAAAAGCCUACCAAGGCAACGAUGGGUAGCUGGUCUGAGAGGAUGAUCAGCCACACUGGAACUGAGACACGGUCCAGACUCCUACGGGAGGCAGCAGUGGGGAAUUUUGCGCAAUGGACGAAAGUCUGACGCAGCAACGCCGCGUGAGUGAUGAAGGUUUUAGGAUCGUAAAGCUCUGUCAGUGGGGAAGAAUAGUUCGGUGGGUAAUAUUCGCUGAAAUUGACGGUACCCACAAAGGAAGCACCGGCUAACUCCG